RNAcentral lists this non-coding RNA (31 nucleotides) under Rattus norvegicus (Norway rat). The record is from RNAcentral. Lineage: Eukaryota; Metazoa; Chordata; Mammalia; Rodentia; Muridae.
UGGAAUGCAAUGCCUUGAAAAUAUAGAAUUC